Small nuclear RNA from Cebus imitator (Panamanian white-faced capuchin), 106 nucleotides. The record is from Ensembl. NCBI's taxonomy places the organism in Eukaryota, Metazoa, Chordata, Mammalia, Primates, Cebidae.
GUACUCACUUUGGUAGCACAUAAACUGAAAUUGGAGUGAUACAGAAGAUUAGCAUGGCCCCUGCAGAAGGACGAUAUGGAAAACUCAACAAAGAAAAGAAAAAAGC